GUGGAAGCAGAUCCUGCCCCAGUUCAGCCUCCGGAUGAAAACCCACUCCCAGACCAAGCCCUGAUUCCUGUCUUGCAGAAAGCCCAGCUCCAAAACGGUGAAAUGCAGAAAUGCACGCGGCUCAACAGACGAGGCUGCCAUGGCCAAGGCCACCAGUCCACUCGGAAGACAGAGGGAUUCCAAACCUCAUGGCCACCUGUAGGACGGAUCCAGGGCACAGAAAGUGGGAAGCCCGUGACGCCAAGUGGCCAGGAGGUCCACAGACGGCAGAAAGAUUAUGAUAAUUUUCCAGGCACAGUAGCACACAGCUGCAAUCCCAGCUACUCAGAAGGCUGAAGGAGGAGGAUCUCAAGUUGGAGGUCCUCUUGGUCAACUUAGCAUCACCUUGUCUCAAAGUCAAAGAAAUUUGUGUGUAUGUGUGUGUGUGUGUGUGUGUGUUGAACACAGGGGUGAUUAACCACUGAGCCACAUCCCCAGCCCUUUUUAUUUUUUAUUUGAGACAGAGAUCACAGGCGUGUGUACCACACCCAGCCGAGAUAGUAACUUGCUAAUUGCUGAGGGUCUUAAGUUGCUGUGGAUGGCUUUGAAUUUACAAUCCUCCUGCUUCAGCCUCCUGUGUGGCUGGGAUUAUAGGUGUGUGCCACCCCUGCCUUGUUCAAAGUAAGAUUUUAAAAGAGAGCUGGGGCUGUAGUUCAGUGGUAGAGUGCUUGCCCAGUGUCGGGAGCUGCCACGUAGGAGGAACCCUGAGUGAUGGGGAUGUGGAGAUGUGGCCAGCCAGCCCUGGGCUGUGUGUGUGUGAACUAUGGGCAUUAAGCACGCAAAGUGGACUGAAUCCACGUUGUCCUCUGUUUGGAUGGGCCUCGCUCUACCAUGAUCCCCACAUAGCUCAUGAGAUGGGCGUGGCCUCCCUAGAUGCAGACAUCAGGAAGCUAGACUCAACCCCCUGAAACCUGACCCUUUGCCUCAUUUGAAUGGCUUCUUUCCCAUAAAAGGGUUCAGCAUGUGCUCCUCUCUCUCUUUCCAUGGACCCCUAAAGUCAGAGGAGCCAUCACAGGACCCAAAGAGAAAGGUAUUUCUUUGUCUCUGAGUGAUUAUUUUGUGCAGCCCAGUUCACCUGGAGUGACCCUGAGUGUUUAGUCAGUAUGUGUGAAUUCAAUCUCCAGUACCAUUAAAAAAAAAGAAGAAGAAGAAGAAAGAAAGAAAAAGAAGAGGAAAAGAUUGUGAUCAUGUGUGCCGGUGCCCUAGGAAGCUAACUGGGAUGAAUGGCAGUUCUAAAGGUGAAAUUCUUUCUUCAAGUCACUUCCAAAUGGACUCCCCAGGAGAUCAGGUUUUUCAAAACCUUCUGGACAGCUUUCUGGUCAGCUGCUCUGAUGAUACUGUGCUGAUAAGACCCCCAAACCAGGAAGGAACAGAUACAGGGGAGGUGAUCAGGCCCAGGAAACUGCCAGUGUGCACCUCAGGGAAGACAUUGGGAACCCUAUAGCCAGAGGCCAGUAAGAACAUUCUCUCCAGAUAAAGACGUGAUUUCAUCUUGACCCCUGUGUCACUGGUGAAAAGGGAAGAUGUCCUCCAGGGGAGUGGGCACUUCUUAGCCUGCUUUGUUCCAACACAGGAGAUUCUCGUAAAUAUUCAUGGGUGACUGAACAAAUGUCAAAAGGGCCCAAAGUAUGGUACAUCUGUAUGAGACUGUGAUACACAAAAUAUGUCCUUUAAAAUAUACCAGUGCCUUCCCAAAUUCUAUGUGCCCUUCUAGCAAAUCAUCAAACCCAAGAAGGAGGUCCUGGGGUUCCUGAUACAGCAGUGUUCAGAGCCAUGGGAGGCCCAGGCCCCAUAUUUGCAUCUAGUGGGGGAAGCCUGGUAGGACAGAGCCAUCAGCCGUAGGGCUAGACCCUAACUUCAGGCAGUGCUGGGAUGGAAUUACAACAUUGGUUACCCAGUUGGUGCCGGUGUGCCAGAAACUUGACUUUUGGUGUAUAAAAUAAAACCCACAUGUUUAGUGUUAGAAGCUCUAGAAGUGACAAAUGGAGUAAAAUCUGUAUCCCAGGCGAACUCUCCCCCAAACAGAGAGUGUCACAGGGAAUGCUAUUAUGUCAUCUGGUAGGUCAGAGGCUGCUCUGUGGCUCCCAGUCAGACUUCCACUAGCCUCCCCAGUUCUUGCUCAGUAGACUCCUGAGCCCAUGGCCAUGGUGGGCCACCAACCUUAGCCAGCUCCGUCACUGAGGAAUGCCCACCUUGUUGGCAGCAGCCACUGCUGAACCCCCACCAAGGCACAGACUCCUAGCAAGGUCGUCAAGGCCUGGUCAGUUGAGGAUUACAUUGGACCCCUUCCAUCAUGGAUUGGGCAAUGAGUUUUUCCUCCCUGGAAUAAAUAACUCUGGCCUUGC
Long non-coding RNA from Marmota monax (woodchuck), 2384 nucleotides. RefSeq lists it as uncharacterized. Lineage: Eukaryota; Metazoa; Chordata; Mammalia; Rodentia; Sciuridae. The record is from RefSeq and is a predicted model, not a curated record. The transcript has 3 exons.